GCAAAAUCCUGACAUUCGGCGUAUUGUUUUGCAGCAGUGUGAUGUAGUUGUGACGUAUUUGACAGCUGGAAUCUGAUUGGCUGUUGCGGUUUGAAGCCUUGGAGAUGAUGUUCAUGGCUCCCUGACUGUAUUUGUACUCUAAUGGAGAUCUGAAGUGGAUGUGAACAUGGAUGCAGAACGCAAAGGCUGUUUCAAAACUACAAGACAUUAAUGAACGGGACACAGGAGCGUCUGAGCCCCGUACUGCGAGAUGUGACAGGAUGCUGAACCAUCACUGCAGAAGGAACCCAGAGUUACAGGAGGAGCUGCAGAUCCAGGCGGCGGUGGCGGCCGGCGAUGUCUACACCGUCCGCAAGAUGCUGGAGCAGGGCUACUCGCCCAAGAUCAGGGACGCCAACGGCUGGACGCUGCUGCACUUCUCUGCGGCGAAGGGAAAGGAGCGCUGCGUGCGUGUGUUCCUCGAACACGGAGCGGAUCCCACAGUGAAGGAUUUCAUCGGAGGCUUCACCGCUCUGCAUUAUGCUGCCAUGCACGGCCGUGCCCGCAUCGCCCGCCUCAUGCUGGAGUCCGAGUACCGCAGCGACAUCAUCAACGCCAAGAGCAACGACGGCUGGACGCCUCUGCACGUGGCGGCCCACUACGGCCGCGACUCCUUCGUGCGUCUCCUCUUGGAGUUCAAAGCCGAGGUGGACCCGCUCAGCGACAAAGGCACCACGCCGCUCCAGCUGGCCAUCAUCCGCGAGCGCUCCAGCUGCGUGCGCAUCCUGCUCGACCACAGCGCCAACAUAGACAUUCAGAACGGCUUCUUGCUGCGUUACGCCGUCAUUAAGGGCAACCACUCAUACUGCCGCAUGUUCCUGCAGCGCGGAGCGGACACUAACCUGGGCCGGCUGGAGGACGGCCAGACGCCGCUGCACCUGUCGGCCCUCAGAGACGAUGUGCUGUGCGCGCAGAUGCUGUACACUUACGGAGCCGAUACGAACACAAGGAACUACGAGGGCCAGACGCCCGUGGCUGUUUCCGUCAGCAUGUCUGGCAUCAGUCGGCCCUGUCUGGACUUCCUGCAGGAGGUCACAAGGCAACCCAGGACUUUGCAGGAUCUGUGCAGGAUAAAGAUUCGGCAGUGCAUCGGCCUGCAGAGCCUGAAGCUUCUGGAAGAUCUGCCCAUUGCCAAGGUCAUGAAGGACUACCUAAAACACAAGUUCGACAGCGUUUGACAACAGCCGACCAACCCUUAAGACUCUAUGCAAACUCUCUUGAUUUCUACUCAACCUCUGGGAGCAGGUGCAGCUUUUUGUACAAGCAGAGUGAAAUAACGACUGUGGAUCGGAGCACUGUAAUGGCCACGUUGAUUCGUUCACUGAAGGUGUCGUGGAGAAAUUCCUGACCCAUGAGAGAAGAAAAAUGCAGACGUUUGAUUUGUACCAAAUAUCUUUUUUUGCUCUUAAAUCAACAAGGCCUUUUGUUCCAGAUCCAGUAUCAGAGGUGCUUGGCUUUAGUUUGCAUUAAAAGCUGAAGAAAAAGACCUCGUCACAAGAGGACUACAUAGGUGAACAUGUAUUACGUGCAUAAAUCAUUAACGAACUUUAUGUAAAUAAUUGUGUCAUAUGUACAGCAGAUAUUUUUAGACUAUUUAAGCCACAUGCUUGCGUUAUCGAAGUGAUUUGGGGGUUUGGUUGAGUGCUUCUGUGUUUUUUCAUGUGACCUGUCAAGGGCUUUGAUGUGGGAACGUCCAGAUCUGUAAUUAAAUGGAAUAUUAUUAAUGCUUAAUUGGAAUUGGCCAUCAUUUUCCUCUUAUUACGCACAUGAAAAAUCUCUUACAUUUUUGCAAUCAGUAACUUAAUAUUCUCAUGAUUUUUUUUAAUAUAUAAUGAUUUGAAAUGCACUUAAUUGUUUCCCUGCAAAAUAUAAGCAUUAGUCAAAGGUCUGGAUAGCAUUAAUUUAGUUCAAUUCAUUUGGCACCUCUUUGCACGUCAGAUCGCAACUUUAUUUUUGAUCUCUUCCCCCUAAAAUCUCAAUCAAGGUGAGAGUGUUUUGUGGGAGAGACUCUCUCUGUUACUGUUACUCUAUUUUCUCCGAACCGGUUGGAACACUAGCUGCCUUUCCUUCAGUCCGUGACGCAGUACAGCCACAGCAUUUCACCACAUCAUGAACACACUUCAAGUGCAUUAAAGUGACCUGCCACAGCAUUUAAAUUAUUUCUUUUGAGUUCAGUUUAGGGCGUUUGUUGGGACUGAAAGCAUCUCUGGAUGACUGCUUGCUACCAUAAUGUAUUCAGAAGCAGGUGUGGAGGACUGAUUUGAGAGCAAGGGAAUGUUAUAUGGGAUUUGUCUUUACUAAUCGGAAGUCUUCCACAACUUCAACUACUGAAUGUAUAUAUUCUGCUGUUUCACAUGUACAUGUGUGUGUGAAUAAAUGGAUCUCAUAAUGUCCCCGUUUGUUAUUUUUCAAAGUCUUAUUGCUGUACUUUGAAGCAGUAAUUGUGCCGUGCUCAUUGAUUUGCAUCCAUUUUUCUAGAGUUUGAUGACUUUCUAAUAAAAUGUCUGAGAAAUA
RNA transcript from Onychostoma macrolepis, 2553 nucleotides. It is a transcript of the gene named ankyrin repeat and SOCS box containing 7, with no coding region annotated. Lineage: Eukaryota; Metazoa; Chordata; Actinopteri; Cypriniformes; Cyprinidae. The transcript has 6 exons. The record is from RefSeq and is a predicted model, not a curated record.